RNAcentral lists this ribosomal RNA (644 nucleotides) under uncultured bacterium. RNAcentral's name for it is "bacterial SSU rRNA". It matches the Rfam family "Bacterial small subunit ribosomal RNA", at positions 144 to 803 of the family's 1533-position model. The record is from RNAcentral.
UAACGGCUGGAAACGGUCGCUAAUACCGCAUGAUGUGUUCGGAUGGCAUCAUCUGUACAUCAAAGAUUUAUCGCUGAAAGAUGGGCUCGCGUCUGAUUAGAUAGUUGGUGGGGUAACGGCCUACCAAGUCUACGAUCAGUAGCCGGACUGAGAGGUUGAACGGCCACAUUGGGACUGAGAUACGGCCCAGACUCCUACGGGAGGCAGCAGUGGGGAAUAUUGCACAAUGGGGGAAACCCUGAUGCAGCAACGCCGCGUGAAGGAUGACGGUUUUCGGAUUGUAAACUUCUUUUCUUAGUGACGAAGACAGUGACGGUAGCUAAGGAAUAAGCAUCGGCUAACUACGUGCCAGCAGCCGCGGUAAUACGUAGGAUGCAAGCGUUAUCCGGAUUUACUGGGUGUAAAGGGAGCGCAGGCGGGACUGCAAGUUGGAUGUGAAAUACCGUGGCUUAACCACGGAACUGCAUCCAAAACUGUAGUUCUUGAGUGAAGUAGAGGCAAGCGGAAUUCCGAGUGUAGCGGUGAAAUGCGUAGAUAUUCGGAGGAACACCAGUGGCGAAGGCGGCUUGCUGGGCUUUAACUGACGCUGAGGCUCGAAAGUGUGGGGCGCAAAGAGGAUUAGAUACCCUGGCAGUCCACACUGU